RNAcentral lists this ribosomal RNA (505 nucleotides) under uncultured bacterium. RNAcentral describes it as "bacterial SSU rRNA". It matches the Rfam family "Bacterial small subunit ribosomal RNA", at positions 33 to 507 of the family's 1533-position model. The record is from RNAcentral.
GACACGCUGGCGGCGUGCCUAAUACAUGCAAGUCGAGCGGAAUGAUGAAGAAGCUUUGCUUUCUUUCUGAUUUUUAGCGGCGGACGGGUUGAGUAACACGUGGGCAACCUACCUUGUAGAUUGGGAUAACUCCGGGAAACCGGGGCUAAUACCGAAUAAUCCAUUUUUGCUUCAUGGCGAGAUGUUAAAAGGCGGCUUCGGCUGUCACUACGAGAUGGGCCCGCGGCGCAUUAGCUAGUUGGUAGGGUAAUGGCCUACCAAGGCGACGGAUGCGUAGCCGACCUGAGAGGGUGAUCGGCCACACUGGGACCGAGACACGGCCCAGACUCCUACGGGAGGCAGCAGUAGGGAAUCUUCCACAAUGGACGAAAGUCUGAUGGAGCAACGCCGCGUGAGUGAAGAAGGUUUUCGGAUCGUAAAACUCUGUUGUAAGGGAAGAACACGUACGAGAGUAACUGCUCGUACCUUGACGGUACCUUAUUAGAAAGCCACGGCUAACUACGUG